ACCUGGAGCCCUCGCCGAUAACCGAUAGAUCAAUACUAGAGUGAAAUCAAAAAAGCAGGAGAAUUUUCAUAAGAGCUGGUGAAACAAAUCCAACGAACGAUUUGACCGUUACCGACAGAAGAAGAAGAAGAGCAGCAACCGCGACCAUGUCCAACUUGAGGAAAUUCAAAGACGAGGAGCGCGAGUCGGAGUAUGGCCGUGUCUACGCGGUAUCCGGACCAGUGGUCACGGCGGAGGCCAUGUCUGGAUCCGCUAUGUACGAGCUGGUCCGCGUGGGCUACUACGAGCUGGUGGGCGAGAUCAUCCGUCUGGAGGGCGACAUGGCCACCAUUCAGGUGUACGAAGAGACUUCGGGCGUCACCGUGGGCGAUCCGGUGCUGCGUACCGGCAAGCCACUCUCCGUGGAACUUGGACCCGGCAUCAUGGGCAGCAUCUUCGACGGCAUCCAACGACCUUUGAGGGACAUUGGUGUGAUGACCAACUCCAUCUAUAUACCCAAAGGUGUCAACACAACUGCUUUGUCGCGCUCCGAGAUGUGGGAAUUUAAUCCGCUAAAUGUGCGUGUGGGAUCCCACAUCACCGGAGGAGAUCUUUAUGGAGUGGUACACGAGAACACGCUGGUGAAGCAGCGCAUGAUUGUGGCACCCAGGGCCAAGGGAACCGUUCGAUACAUUGCCCCCGCGGGCAACUAUAACCUGGAAGACAUUGUCCUGGAGACGGAGUUCGAUGGCGAGAUCACCAAGCACACCAUGUUGCAGGUGUGGCCGGUGCGUCAGCCACGUCCCGUCACAGAGAAGCUGCCAGCCAACCAUCCGCUCUUCACGGGCCAACGCGUCCUUGACUCGCUCUUCCCCUGCGUCCAGGGCGGCACCACUGCCAUCCCCGGUGCCUUUGGCUGCGGCAAGACCGUCAUUUCGCAGGCCCUGUCCAAGUACUCCAACUCCGAUGUGAUCAUCUACGUCGGUUGUGGCGAACGUGGUAACGAGAUGUCUGAGGUACUGCGUGACUUCCCCGAACUGACCUGCGAGAUCGAUGGCGUCACCGAGUCCAUUAUGAAGCGAACUGCUCUGGUGGCCAACACCUCCAACAUGCCUGUGGCUGCUCGUGAGGCCUCCAUCUACACUGGUAUCACUCUGUCUGAAUACUUCCGUGAUAUGGGCUACAACGUAGCCAUGAUGGCUGAUUCAACCUCCCGUUGGGCUGAGGCACUUCGUGAGAUUUCGGGUCGUCUGGCUGAGAUGCCUGCCGAUUCCGGCUACCCUGCUUAUCUGGGUGCUCGUCUGGCCACAUUCUACGAACGUGCUGGGCGCGUCAAGUGCUUGGGUAACCCGGAGCGCGAGGGAUCCGUGUCCAUUGUCGGAGCUGUGUCUCCUCCCGGUGGUGACUUCUCCGAUCCCGUGACCUCCGCCACUCUGGGUAUCGUGCAGGUGUUCUGGGGUCUCGACAAGAAGCUGGCCCAGCGCAAGCACUUCCCCUCGAUCAACUGGCUCAUCUCCUACUCGAAGUACAUGCGUGCUCUGGAUGAAUACUACGACAAGAACUACCCCGAGUUCGUGCCACUGCGCACCAAGGUCAAGGAGAUCCUGCAGGAGGAGGAGGAUUUGUCCGAGAUCGUGCAGCUGGUGGGCAAGGCAUCGCUGGCCGAGACCGACAAGGUGACCCUGGAAGUGGCCAAGCUGCUGAAGGACGACUUUCUGCAACAGAACUCCUACUCACCAUACGAUCGCGUUUGUCCCUUUUACAAGACGGUGGGCAUGCUGAGAAACAUCAUGGCCUUCUAUGAGACCGCCCGGCAUGCCGUUGAGUCCACAGCCCAGUCGGACAACAAGAUCACAUGGAACACUAUCAGGGAAUCGAUGGGCGGAAUUAUGUACCAGCUGUCGUCGAUGAAGUUCAAGGACCCGGUGAAAGAUGGCGAGCAAAAGAUCAAGGCGGACUACGACCAGCUGUACGAGGAUCUGCAGCAGGCCUUCAGAAAUCUGGAGGACUAAGCGGAAACGGCCAGAAACCAACUGCGGGCUUUCCUAGCGAGAGGAAUGGAUAAAGAAGCAAACCAAACGAAAUAAGAAACCAAAGCUAGGUCUAGUCAGGUCAGAGUCGAAUCACCAGAAGAAGAUACGCAAAACGAAAGGAAAGACGAACAAUAAUUAGUCGGUAGCGCAAAUGGAACGCAGUUAAACCAGCCAUAUACAUAAAUACCAUACAUAUACGACACAUAUGUAUAAUUAUCUAUGUUGAUAUAUAAAUAUAAUUCACAGCUAUGUAUUGUUAGUAAAUUUUCAUAUAGUUAUCGAUUGUGUUCGUUACCCUAUUGUGUGAAACUAAACCAACUAAACGGCAAGUCUAAAGGGCGUUUGAAUCUUUACGAAAUUACAAAAUAUUAUAUUCCUACAUAUUAUAGACCUUUAAAGAACGCAAUAACAACGUAGCCCCAAAAGCAUGUACCUCUACUACCAAAGGAUAGCUAUUUCAGUAACUUGUGUGUGUUGCAAAUGGAGCUAUGGAAAUAAAAUGUAUUAUGAAUGUUA
RNAcentral lists this unclassified non-coding RNA (2528 nucleotides) under Drosophila simulans. RNAcentral describes it as "Vha68-1". The record is from RNAcentral. Lineage: Eukaryota; Metazoa; Arthropoda; Insecta; Diptera; Drosophilidae.